Long non-coding RNA from Salvelinus namaycush (lake trout), 1062 nucleotides. RefSeq lists it as uncharacterized. NCBI's taxonomy places the organism in Eukaryota, Metazoa, Chordata, Actinopteri, Salmoniformes, Salmonidae. The transcript is spliced from 3 exons. The record is from RefSeq and is a predicted model, not a curated record.
GGACGACAUGGUGUCCUUUGCGGAAGGCAUCCAGUCCUGUGUGGCAUGGGAAAAGGUUGACAUGGUAGAAACUGGAGUGGAGGCCUUGGCCAGGAUGAUUGUGGCAAAAGGACGAAUCCUCCUGGUGCCAAGCACCCCAUCAUUCCUCUACCAGGGCUUCUCAGACAAGCAGCACGUCAUUACUCGGUUGCCAACAGAGACGUGCUCCUGCUCUGCAUCGGACAGUGCCCAGAAGUGUCCACCGACUGGCAGCUGUACUGGCCUUUGACAGAAGUGUGGACAGUCCUAUGCCAAUAAAGCUGAGGAUAAGGCAUCUGGGCGCAAAAUGCUCUGGCCAUAAGUGUGCCACCAAGGAGCAUGUCCAGACAGCCGCCAAACGCCAGGAAGAACAAGCUACCGUUGAUCAACAGGUCCGUCUUAUUUUGGUAUGUCAAAAUGUUGACCAUUUUACUAAGCCAUGUGGUCCUCAUGGGUUUUAUGUAUAUCUGUGAACCCUAAAUGCAGUACUGUCCCAAACUGACCUGUCACCAUUAUUCAAUAGGGUGACCAAUUCCAACACUGUCUGAGAAACACUCCAGCAGGGAUGACGAAUUGGAGAAUAGAGUGAAACUGUGGGCAGGGCAACCGCAAGGAUUUUGUUGGAGGAAACCAUUGCCAUUCUGCACCUUCAGGACUUCCUUACGUUGAAGUCCAAUGAGUGGCUUAGUGGGGAGACCAGUCUGGAGCAGCGCAGUUGCUUGAUUGGAGCCUGCAAUGUGGCAAACUACCACUGGAUACUCUUGGUAAACUGCACAAGAUGGACCAUUUAGUGAGAGAUUAGACAGUACUACACUUGAAUAUGUUAUGAUUGAGGCCAUUUUGAUAUACUGACUUGGUAUUACUGCUUGCAUUUAGUAUGUCCAUCGCAGGACCCACUCUGCCAUUGUCCUGGACCCUACUGGUUGCCCUAACGCGGAGUGCCAUAUGCGCGAGAACCUGGUCAGGCACGGUAAAUCUGGUGUUGUAAAAAUACUUGAAAGUAGUUGGGGUAUUUGACAACUUUUACUUUACUACAUUCCUAAA